This 442-nucleotide ribosomal RNA is filed under the name uncultured bacterium. RNAcentral describes it as "partial 16S ribosomal RNA". It matches the Rfam family "Bacterial small subunit ribosomal RNA", at positions 338 to 795 of the family's 1533-position model. The record is from RNAcentral.
CCUACGGUGCGCAGCAGUGGGGAAUAUUGGGCAAUGGGCGCAAGCCUGACCCAGCAAUGCCGCGUGAAGGAAGAAGGCUUUCGGGUUGUAACCUUCUUUGACAGGGGAAGAGCAGAAGACGGUACCCUGAAAACAAGCCACGGCUAACUACGUGCCAGCAGCCGCGGUAAUACGUAGGUGGCAAGCGUUGUCCGGAUUUACUGGGUGUAAAGGGCGUGUAGCCGGGAAGGCAAGUCAGAUGUGAAAGCCGGAGGCUCAACCUCCGAAUUGCAUUUGAAACUGUUUUUCUUGAGUACUGGUGAGGUAGACGGAAUUCGUGGUGUAGCGGUGAAAUGCGUAGAUAUAAGGAAGAACACCAGUGGCGAAGGCGGAUGACUGGACGGCAACUGACGGUGAGGCGCGAAAGCGUGGGGAGCAAACAGGAUUAGAUACCCCUGUAGUC